Molecule: ribosomal RNA, 234 nt
Filed under: uncultured bacterium
Lineage: Bacteria
Description: partial 16S ribosomal RNA
Rfam family: Bacterial small subunit ribosomal RNA
Source: RNAcentral
GUUCGGAAUUACUGGGCGUAAAGGGCUCGUCGGCGGCCAACUAAGUCGGACGUGAAAUCCCUCGGCUUAACCGGGGAACUGCGUCCGAUACUGGAUGGCUUGAGGUUGGGAGAGGGAUGCGGAAUUCCAGGUGUAGCGGUGAAAUGCGUAGAUAUCUGGAGGAACACCGGUGGCGAAGGCGGCAUCCUGGACCAAUUCUGACGCUGAGGAGCGAAAGUGUGGGGAGCGAACAGG